Molecule: long non-coding RNA, 306 nt
Filed under: Citrus maxima (pomelo)
Lineage: Eukaryota; Viridiplantae; Streptophyta; Magnoliopsida; Sapindales; Rutaceae
Description: long non-coding RNA (CMAX_LNC002436)
Source: RNAcentral
GAGAACUAUUGCUCAUGAUAACAUUUACAAUCAUAUAUAUACUGAGACUCGUUUACAUCAAUUCUAAUAUGGCACCGCUCAAAUUUUUUAACCCUCUCAAAUAUUCGAGGGACGUCCACCGCUCAAAUUUUUUAACCCUCUCAAAUAUUCGAGGGACGUCAACUCCCAUUCUGGGAGAAAAGACUGUCUUCACUCAAGCUCUGGGACUCCAAUAAAGAAAAUUGAAAUCAAAUCCCUACAAUGCGUUUGCGGAGGCUCGAACCACUUCCCUCACAUUUGUGAGGGAGUGACUCUGGCCACUUGGGC